RNAcentral lists this ribosomal RNA (470 nucleotides) under uncultured bacterium. Its description in RNAcentral is "bacterial SSU rRNA". It matches the Rfam family "Bacterial small subunit ribosomal RNA", at positions 470 to 937 of the family's 1533-position model. The record is from RNAcentral.
UGACGGUAUCAUAUGAAUAAGCACCGGCUAACUCCGUGCCAGCAGCCGCGGUAAUACGGGGGGUGCAAGCGUUACUCGGAAUCACUGGGCGUAAAGAGCAUGUAGGCGGGUGAAUAAGUUGGAAGUGAAAUCCUAUAGCUUAACUAUAGAACUGCUUCCAAAACUGUUCACCUAGAGUAUGGGAGAGGUAGAUGGAAUUUCUGGUGUAGGGGGUAAAAUCCGUAGAGAUCAGAAGGAAUACCGAUUGCGAAGGCGAUCUACUGGAACAUUACUGACGCUCAGAUGCGAAAGCGUGGGGAGCAAACAGGAUUAGAUACCCUGGUAGUCCACGCCCUAAACGAUGUACACUAGUUGUUGCUAUACUAGAUAUGGCAGUAAUGCAGUUAACACUUUAAGUGUACCGCCUGGGGGAGUACGGUCGCAAGAUUAAAACUCAAAGGAAUAGACGGGGACCCGCACAAGCGGUGGAG